This 701-nucleotide long non-coding RNA is filed under the name Pogona vitticeps (central bearded dragon). RNAcentral describes it as "lncRNA (ENSPVIG00000016045.1)". Lineage: Eukaryota; Metazoa; Chordata; Lepidosauria; Squamata; Agamidae. The record is from RNAcentral.
CCAUGGCAUUCACAUUCUUCUGCCUGAGGCAAUCACUUCACAAUGGUGGGGCCAAACCUGUGUGUACCCCUGCUUUCCUCACACUUCUAAGGAACGGAAGCAUACCCUGUAGAAGUUAGUCAGAGCAACUGUGUGGUUUGUGUCAGCUUUACACACUUUUGAGGGGGGGAAUUGCAUGUCUAUACUGCACCUGAGGCAUAUUGUGGAAUAACCAGAACAUAACCUGAGGGAGACUCUCAGAAAGUAGAAGAACAAUUAGGAAUACAGAAAACCUCCUGCUGAGAGCCUAUUAUCAGAAAUUGUCUGCACCAGAUGAGAAUAAUUGUUUUGCGAUGUUCGCAAAUUGUUGCGCUUGAACGAAAAGUAACAUUCUCAUACACCAGUCCCACAAACCCAAGCAGAUGAAAGAGUCUGUUGAUUUCAAGUCUGAUGCAAGGUUAGGACUCACUACAGGAAUGAUGGGGAAGGAAAUACCAGAAGACUUUUCAAAAAAAAAGAGGGAGAAGAGUUUACAUGCAGUCAAAUUUAAGCAUUAAUCUAUAGUCUCUGUCAUUUAGAUGAUUUCUGUGUUUCAUCACUAUGUAUAAGAUUCUAUUGUUAUAUUUUGUGGCAACCUGUAAUAUAUCCCUCCCUCUGCAGAUGAAAUGCUCUUUUCUCAAAUGGGGAGUAUAUAUUUAAAAUAAAUAUAGUAAACUAAAUCA